This 166-nucleotide small nuclear RNA is filed under the name Mus musculus (house mouse). RNAcentral's name for it is "U2 spliceosomal RNA". The stretch from base 1 to 124 matches the Rfam family "U2 spliceosomal RNA". From Rfam's summary of the family: U2 is a small nuclear RNA (snRNA) component of the spliceosome (involved in pre-mRNA splicing). Complementary binding between U2 snRNA (in an area lying towards the 5' end but 3' to hairpin I) and the branchpoint sequence (BPS) of the intron results the bulging out of an unpaired adenosine, on the BPS, which initiates a nucleophilic attack at the intronic 5' splice site, thus starting the first of two transesterification reactions that mediate splicing. Lineage: Eukaryota; Metazoa; Chordata; Mammalia; Rodentia; Muridae. The record is from Rfam by way of RNAcentral.
AUUGCUUCUCGGCCUUUUGGCUAAGAUCAAGUGUAGACUUUCAAUUGAAAUUAAAACUGUGGGUUUUUUUUUUUCUCAUGUGUUUUCAUAUUGAAUUCUCCCAAGAACCCUGGGAGCAUCCUCAUGGCCACUUACAGGCAAUAAAAAAGAGCCCAAAGAAAAGAGG